GGGGAUGUAGCUCAGCUGGGAGAGCGCCUGCUUUGCACGCAGGAGGCCAGCGGUUCGAAUCCGCUCAUCUCCA
Molecule: transfer RNA, 73 nt
Filed under: Thermodesulfobium narugense DSM 14796
Lineage: Bacteria; Pseudomonadati; Thermodesulfobiota; Thermodesulfobiia; Thermodesulfobiales; Thermodesulfobiaceae
Also listed under: 1 other name
Rfam family: tRNA
About the family: Transfer RNA (tRNA) molecules are approximately 80 nucleotides in length. Their secondary structure includes four short double-helical elements and three loops (D, anti-codon, and T loops).
Source: Rfam by way of RNAcentral